UACAGAGGGUGCAAGCGUUGUUCGGAAUUAUUGGGCGUAAAGGGCGCGUAGGCGGUGCGGUAAGUCUGAUGUGAAAUCUCCGGGCUCAACUCGGAGUCUGCAUCAGAAACUGCCGUGCUCGAGUGUGGGAGAGGUGAGUGGAAUUCCCGGUGUAGCGGUGAAAUGCGUAGAUAUCGGAAGGAACACCAGUGGCGAAAGCGGCUUCCUGGUCCAGCACCGACAUUCAGGCACGAAAGCGUGGGGAGCAAACAGG
This 253-nucleotide ribosomal RNA is filed under the name uncultured bacterium. RNAcentral describes it as "partial 16S ribosomal RNA". It matches the Rfam family "Bacterial small subunit ribosomal RNA", at positions 524 to 776 of the family's 1533-position model. The record is from RNAcentral.